GCCAUCGUGGUGUGAGGAGGGCUCCACAGAGGUUGGUUCUUCACAGUAAGUGUCCUUGGCACUCAGGGUGCAGGAUAGGAAGAGACCAACUUCACCAGGAGGCUUUGGAGCAAGCGCCCUGGGCCUUGAUGCGCCUGAAAGCUUGUGUGGAGAAAAAGAUCCUCCCACUCCCGGCUCCCCUUUCCUAAAAAUCCGAGACAAAGCUCAAUGGUCUUGUCCGGUGUCCACCCCCACUCCCCCCAGUGUUCGUCUCCCAGGAAAGCGCCCCACACUGGGCGUCCCGGGAGGUUGGGCCCAAGAGACACAUCAGCAGGAAGGUGCCUGCUUGUUUAGCAUCAAGUUACUUCAGAAAGGACCUAGAAUAGUCAAAACCACAGAGAAGGAUCUGACUGUGUGGCUCUGGAUGCUGCCUUGCCCUCCCGAGUGCUGGAAUGGCAGUGCUUUGAUACCAUGCCCAGCUACCAGUUCUUGUGAUUCUUAUGAUACCUCAUCAGGGUGGAGUUUGGUAGCUUUGGAAGCCUGUUCCAAGAGAGAAAACCAGCCCGUAUGCUUAUAGACUUAAACAGGAGCCUAGCAAAACUCUCUCCUGAGAUGCUUCAUCCAAGCAGCAAAUAGAAACAGAUGCAGAGACCCACAGACAAACAUCAGGUGGAGCUCAGAAACCCUGGUGUGAAGGCAGCAGAAUCAGUAACUCUCCACUGGCAACAAAGCUGGAGCUGUGUCCUUGCAGGAGGAGAGCGUUGGCUGGGAAGAAGCUGAACGCCCAUCCUCUUUAAUGUUAGGAAGCUCUGAGAAGCUCUGAGAAGAAGAGUCUUGGCCCAGAGCGUCAUAAUGAAGUUGCUUUGGCGAGCUUCCUUUUUAAGACCUUUGGCUGUGGGUGAGCUAUGUGACCUGGGAAAUGUAAGGCAAGCUGUUGUUGCAGAUGUAGCCCAGACACAGGGCACACAAAGCCGCUGAGCUUUUGUCCUUUCAGAAACUGCAACUCUAUGAUCCAACAAAAGCAGCUUUUAAGUUUAAGUCAUCUGACAGUUUAUGUGAGGUGACAAUAAGUUAAUUUAAUAGAUGUUUAUUUUCCUCAUUUUAGAGAUGUCAUUAAUUCUAGCUUAUGUUCGAAUUCAAUAUAAUAUUUGUGCAAAACACAAAUGAAUUGUAUAUACAGUUUGUGACAGUUAGUUUUAAUUGUCAACUUGACAUAACCCAGGAUCACAUGGGAAAGGAAUCUCAGUGAGGGAUGGUCUACAUCAGAUUGGCCUGUGGGCACAUCUAAGUGGGAUUGUCUUGAUUGCCUGUGUUUAUGUGAAAAUCCAGGCCAGCAUAAAUAGCACUGCUCCCGAGACAAGAGGUCAUGCAUAUGGAGCCAAGCACAGGCAAGCAAGCAAGCAAGCAAGCAAGCAAGCAAGCAAGCAAGCAAGCAAGCAUUCAUCUCUCUUCUUGACCAUGGUUGCAAUGUGAUAGACUAUAACCUGGAAGCAUAAGCCAGGGAGAUCCUUUUUCCCCUACUUUAAUUUUUGUCAGGAUAUGCUUAUCACAGCAACAGAAAUUGAACUAUAUUAGCAUUUAUUCCUGUUAAUCCUGUUGUCUACAAAAAAAAAAAAAAACCCAGUAAGAAUAAGUUAUCAAAUACUGGAUAGUGCAUUUUCAGGAAAUACAGGGUUGUGUUCCUUUUAGUCUCUGAUCACUUGUUCGCCAACAGACUAAUUCAUAACCUUGAUGUUUCUGUCUUUAUGUUCAGCGGUACUACUUAGUAUGUGUUGUUGAUUCAUUGGCAUGGGACUCACGGUCAACAGCAUUGUAGCUCAUGCCUUGGUGAAGGCUGCCUGACACACAUACCCUUCACUGGCACACCACAGCUUCCUUGUACUUAGAAAUAUGAAAUGGUACUUCAGCACCAGCUCAGGGGUCAUUUUACAUGUCAGAAUCCCCACACAAAAGUGCAAAAAUAAAAAAAAAAACUGUGGUGUCGUUAGAGUGUGAAAGAACACUUGUUCAUGGUGUGGAAACUGGAUUGUGAAGUCAGAAGUUUGCUUGGUUCAUCAAAUUUGAGGAUGUAUGGAUGGGUCAUUUCCUGUCUCUAUGGACACAGGGAGGAUUGAUUUGCAGGCUACAAAUCCUUUUGACAGAUGGGCAAACUCACAAAUGUGGAAUCCUUGAAACAUAAAAAAAAAUCCACCAUUGGGGCUCGAGAGAUGACUCAGUGGUUAAGAACACUGAUUGCUCGUCCAGAGGUCCUGAGUUCAAUUCCCAGCAACCACAUGGUGGCUCACAACCAUCUGUAAUAGAAUCUGGUGCCUUCUUCUGGUGUGUCUGAAGACAGCUACAGUGUGUUCAUAUACAUUAAAUAAAUACAUUUUUAAGAAAAGAAUUCAC
This 2367-nucleotide long non-coding RNA is filed under the name Mus musculus (house mouse). RNAcentral describes it as "RIKEN cDNA 4933431K23 gene". The record is from RNAcentral. Lineage: Eukaryota; Metazoa; Chordata; Mammalia; Rodentia; Muridae.